This 1423-nucleotide ribosomal RNA is filed under the name Bifidobacterium pseudocatenulatum. Its description in RNAcentral is "bacterial SSU rRNA". It matches the Rfam family "Bacterial small subunit ribosomal RNA". The record is from RNAcentral. Lineage: Bacteria; Bacillati; Actinomycetota; Actinomycetes; Bifidobacteriales; Bifidobacteriaceae.
UGGGGGGGGGCUUUACACAUGCAAGUCGAACGGGAUCCAUCAGGCUUUGCUUGGUGGUGAGAGUGGCGAACGGGUGAGUAAUGCGUGACCGACCUGCCCCAUACACCGGAAUAGCUCCUGGAAACGGGUGGUAAUGCCGGAUGCUCCGACUCCUCGCAUGGGGUGUCGGGAAAGAUUUCAUCGGUAUGGGAUGGGGUCGCGUCCUAUCAGGUAGUCGGCGGGGUAACGGCCCACCGAGCCUACGACGGGUAGCCGGCCUGAGAGGGCGACCGGCCACAUUGGGACUGAGAUACGGCCCAGACUCCUACGGGAGGCAGCAGUGGGGAAUAUUGCACAAUGGGCGCAAGCCUGAUGCAGCGACGCCGCGUGCGGGAUGACGGCCUUCGGGUUGUAAACCGCUUUUGAUCGGGAGCAAGCCUUCGGGUGAGUGUACCUUUCGAAUAAGCACCGGCUAACUACGUGCCAGCAGCCGCGGUAAUACGUAGGGUGCAAGCGUUAUCCGGAAUUAUUGGGCGUAAAGGGCUCGUAGGCGGUUCGUCGCGUCCGGUGUGAAAGUCCAUCGCUUAACGGUGGAUCUGCGCCGGGUACGGGCGGGCUGGAGUGCGGUAGGGGAGACUGGAAUUCCCGGUGUAACGGUGGAAUGUGUAGAUAUCGGGAAGAACACCAAUGGCGAAGGCAGGUCUCUGGGCCGUUACUGACGCUGAGGAGCGAAAGCGUGGGGAGCGAACAGGAUUAGAUACCCUGGUAGUCCACGCCGUAAACGGUGGAUGCUGGAUGUGGGGCCCGUUCCACGGGUUCCGUGUCGGAGCUAACGCGUUAAGCAUCCCGCCUGGGGAGUACGGCCGCAAGGCUAAAACUCAAAGAAAUUGACGGGGGCCCGCACAAGCGGCGGAGCAUGCGGAUUAAUUCGAUGCAACGCGAAGAACCUUACCUGGGCUUGACAUGUUCCCGACAGCCGUAGAGAUAUGGCCUCCCUUCGGGGCGGGUUCACAGGUGGUGCAUGGUCGUCGUCAGCUCGUGUCGUGAGAUGUUGGGUUAAGUCCCGCAACGAGCGCAACCCUCGCCCUGUGUUGCCAGCACGUCAUGGUGGGAACUCACGGGGGACCGCCGGGGUCAACUCGGAGGAAGGUGGGGAUGACGUCAGAUCAUCAUGCCCCUUACGUCCAGGGCUUCACGCAUGCUACAAUGGCCGGUACAACGGGAUGCGACACGGCGACGUGGAGCGGAUCCCUGAAAACCGGUCUCAGUUCGGAUUGGAGUCUGCAACCCGACUCCAUGAAGGCGGAGUCGCUAGUAAUCGCGGAUCAGCAACGCCGCGGUGAAUGCGUUCCCGGGCCUUGUACACACCGCCCGUCAAGUCAUGAAAGUGGGUAGCACCCGAAGCCGGUGGCCUAACCCUUUGUGGAUGGAGCCGUCUAAGGGA